Magnolia sinica is the source of this 1844-nucleotide long non-coding RNA. RefSeq lists it as uncharacterized. The transcript has 3 exons. The record is from RefSeq and is a predicted model, not a curated record. NCBI's taxonomy places the organism in Eukaryota, Viridiplantae, Streptophyta, Magnoliopsida, Magnoliales, Magnoliaceae.
CUCUCUCUCUCUCUCGAUCUCUCGCGCUCUUUUUCUCUCUUUUGAUCUCCCCUCUCACGAACUCCUCUUCUCUUCCUAACCAUCCCCUCCCACUCGAUCUCACGAACUCCUCUUCAUCAAUGGAUGAUUUCGAGUUUUUGCACUCCCGGUCGUGAAGGAUCUAAAACCUCUCUCUGCUGAAAGAUUCGAAACCCCUCUCUCACUCCCACUCACAAAAAAUCAAAAACCCCUUUCCGCUGAUAGAUCUGAAAGCAGAGCUCUCUCUGCUACUUGUCGCAAAAGUCAUAGGCAGAGCACCAAACAAGCUCUUUAAGGAAAGAGGGGGAUUUCCCUUGGAAAAUGCAUGGUGUACCCUAUUGUGAAGCUUAAUAUGGUGUUGUGGGCUGCGGCAUGGUUCGAUCCCGAGCCAAUUGAUUGUUGCUUCACUAACAUCAAUCUAGUGUCUAGGGACCAAGAACAUGUGGAGGAAGGGAUGCCAACUGUUUGACGAAAUUCCCAAAGCCCAUGUUGCACAGGCAUGCACCUCUUAUGUGCAUGCUUUAUAUGCACAACACUAGCAAGCUUAAAACAUGCAUAUAUGGUUAUACAGCCACCACCUUCAGGUAUAUACCCUACCUCCUCCUCCAAACAUGUGGAAGUGUAACCACUGAAGUAAGUUGUAAUGCAUUUGUGGACUUAUGGAAUUGAAAAUAUAGCCUAGGGAGCAGGGACGAGUUGCCUUAGCAUGCUGGCUGCUAUGCUAAGGAAACACUCUUUUAUGCAAGCUUGGGCUUGGCAAUAAGAACACAAAACUCUUACAGAUGCUAUGAGCAUGCAAUUAAUUACAAAGGUUUAUUAAAAUCAACCAGUUGCUUUGAGAAAUAAAAUUAUGGUUCCAAUAGAAUAUCCUAUGCCUAUGCAAUUCAAUUGUUUUGCUAAGCUAUGGUUUUGGGAAAAGUGUGUCAUGAUCAAGGGAGGUGAUUCAAUAAUUGUGUAUGGAAAGAACCGUUGCUUUUGUAAUUGGUCAUGAAUAUUUUUGUCAUAGCAAGGUACUGCGGUAUUUUUGUUAUCGUUCUAUGGUACAUUUUGAAGGGCUUUCCUUGAUGUGAUGCAGUCCCAAUUUAUUCAUUUUUGUAAUAUGUGCAGGCUUGUCAAUGUUCAUAAUUGCUAGCAUGUUUGAUGAUCUUUAAUUUAGUGUUUUGAUGGUCUGAUACAUUGGUUUUUCCUUUACCCAAAAUAGCAUUUGGAUGUCUGCACUCUGCAGUAUGCAGCAUGAUUUUUUUUUCUUUUUUUGUUUUGUUUUGCUUUGUUUUGUUUUUGUUUUUUGUUUUUUGGUUUCUUUUAAGAACUUCCCAUCCCACUUAGAAAUUUUAGAAAGCGCUUGUAUAAAAAUGUUGUUUUAACCUUGCUGUCCAUAUGUGCUAUGAGUGAUUCAGUAGAAAGAGAUAUGGAGCUGUUGGUGAGAAAUGAACAUUCAUCAUGGCCUGAGGGUAAACAGGAAAAUGCUUUGUUAUGGCUAACCAUAUCAGAAAUCUCCAUUUUGUACAUUGCAAAUGCAAACAGAAUGUAAUCAAAUUUCUUUCAAGUGGGACAUCCAUUGCUUGACAAAAGGAAAAAAAAUGUAUUGGCCCUGUAAGUAUUUUUGGACUGACAGCUAUCUCUGUUGGUGCAAAUUAGCUGGACUGUCCAAAUCAUCUUACCAUGAAGCCAGAUAUCCAUGGUUUUUAGCUCAUUGUUUUGUUUUCAAAGCUAAUAUUCUUACUCACGGUUGUCUCUUGGACUGACGUAAAUCCCUAAUUAUAUGCAUCUUGAUGGUUCUUUCCUCUAUUAAUGCAUUUUGUACUUGGUUUUUAUUAGCUCAUGAU